RNAcentral lists this ribosomal RNA (248 nucleotides) under uncultured bacterium. RNAcentral's name for it is "partial 16S ribosomal RNA". It matches the Rfam family "Bacterial small subunit ribosomal RNA", at positions 85 to 334 of the family's 1533-position model. The record is from RNAcentral.
AAGAUGGCGACCGGCGCACGGGUGAGUAACACGUAUCCAACCUGCCGAUAACUCCGGGAUAGCCUUUCGAAAGAAAGAUUAAUACCGGAUGGCAUACGAAUAUCGCAUGAUAUUUUUUUUAAAGAAUUUCGGUUAUCGAUGGGGAUGCGUUCCAUUAGUUUGUUGGCGGGGUAACGGCCCACCAAGACUACGAUGGAUAGGGGUUCUGAGAGGAAGGUCCCCCACAUUGGAACUGAGACACGGUCCAA